RNAcentral lists this ribosomal RNA (253 nucleotides) under uncultured bacterium. Its description in RNAcentral is "partial 16S ribosomal RNA". It matches the Rfam family "Bacterial small subunit ribosomal RNA", at positions 524 to 776 of the family's 1533-position model. The record is from RNAcentral.
UACGUAGGGGGCUAGCGUUGUCCGGAAUCAUUGGGCGUAAAGAGCGUGUAGGCGGUCCGGUAAGUCCGCUGUGAAAGUCGGGGGCUCAACCCUCGAAUGCCGGUGGAUACUGUCGGGCUAGAGUGCGGAAGAGGCGAGUGGAAUCCCUGGUGUAGCGGUGAAAUGCGCAGAUAUCAGGAGGAACACCUAUUGCGAAGGCAGCUCGCUGGGACGUUACUGACGCUGAGACGCGAAAGCGUGGGGAGCAAACAGG